RNAcentral lists this ribosomal RNA (429 nucleotides) under Gemmatimonadota bacterium. Its description in RNAcentral is "Gemmatimonadetes bacterium partial 16S ribosomal RNA". It matches the Rfam family "Bacterial small subunit ribosomal RNA", at positions 355 to 776 of the family's 1533-position model. The record is from RNAcentral. Lineage: Bacteria; Pseudomonadati; Gemmatimonadota.
UAGGGAAUCUUCGGCAAUGGACGAAAGUCUGACCGAGCAACGCCGCGUGAGUGAAGAAGGUUUUCGGAUCGUAAAACUCUGUUGUUAGAGAAGAACAAGGACGUUAGUAACUGAACGUCCCCUGACGGUAUCUAACCAGAAAGCCACGGCUAACUACGUGCCAGCAGCCGCGGUAAUACGUAGGUGGCAAGCGUUGUCCGGAUUUAUUGGGCGUAAAGCGAGCGCAGGCGGUUUCUUAAGUCUGAUGUGAAAGCCCCCGGCUCAACCGGGGAGGGUCAGUGGAAACUGAGAGACUUGAGUGCAGAAGAGGAGAGUGGAAUUCCAUGUGUAGCGGUGAAAUGCGUAGAUAUAUGGAGGAACACCAGUGGCGAAGGCGGCUCUCUGGUCUGUAACUGACGCUGAGGCUCGAAAGCGUGGGGAGCAAACAGG